UGCGCAGCGCGUGCUUUAUGACGAUCUCGCGGAAACGGAUGCCCUUUAGGCGCGCGGUGCGGAUGUAUUGGGCCGUCAUCACCUCGGCCAUGGAGGCGCGGGUCAUACGGGCGAUAUAUCCCAUGCCGUAUAGGGCCAUCGUGGCCACGGGCAGGGUGAAGUUCUGAAACGUCACGC
This 177-nucleotide non-coding RNA is filed under the name Actibacterium lipolyticum. RNAcentral describes it as "Confluentimicrobium lipolyticum Ruegeria cis52 sRNA". It matches the Rfam family "Ruegeria cis52 sRNA". From Rfam's summary of the family: Cis-encoded. Lineage: Bacteria; Pseudomonadati; Pseudomonadota; Alphaproteobacteria; Rhodobacterales; Roseobacteraceae. The record is from Rfam by way of RNAcentral.